AUUGAACGCUGGCGGCAGGCCUAACACAUGCAAGUCGAACGGUAACAGGAAGAAGCUUGCUUCUUUGCUGACGAGUGGCGGACGGGUGAGUAAUGUCUGGGAAACUGCCUGAUGUAGGGGGAUAACUACUGGAAACGGUAGCUAAUACCGCAUAACGUCGCAAGACCAAAGAGGGGGACCUUCGGGCCUCUUGCCAUCGGUUGUGCCCAGAUGGGAUUAGCUAGUAGGUGGGGUAACGGCUCACCUAGGCGACGAUCCCUAGCUGGUCUGAGAGGAUGACCAGCCACACUAGAACUGAGACACGGUCCAGACUCCUACGGGAGGCAGCAGUGGGGAAUAUUGCACAAGGGGCGCAAGCCUGAUGCAGCCAUGCCGCGUGUAUGAAGAAGGCCUUCGGGUUGGAAAGUACUUUCAGCGGGGAGGAAGGGAGUAAAGUUAAUACCUUUGCUCAUUGACGUUACCCGCAGAAGAAGCACCGGCUAACUCCGUG
RNAcentral lists this ribosomal RNA (490 nucleotides) under uncultured bacterium. RNAcentral's name for it is "partial 16S ribosomal RNA". It matches the Rfam family "Bacterial small subunit ribosomal RNA", at positions 30 to 507 of the family's 1533-position model. The record is from RNAcentral.